This 1343-nucleotide ribosomal RNA is filed under the name uncultured bacterium. Its description in RNAcentral is "16S ribosomal RNA". It matches the Rfam family "Bacterial small subunit ribosomal RNA", at positions 28 to 1378 of the family's 1533-position model. The record is from RNAcentral.
GACGAACGCUGGCGGCGUGCUUAACACAUGCAAGUCGAACGGAAAGGCCCUGCUUUUGUGGGGUGCUCGAGUGGCGAACGGGUGAGUAACACGUGAGUAACCUGCCCUUGACUUUGGGUUAACUUCAGGAAACUGGGGCUAAUACCGGAUAGGAGCUCCUGCUGCAUGGUGGGGGUUGGAAAGUUUCGGCGGUUGGGGAUGGACUCGCGGCUUAUCAGCUUGUUGGUGGGGUAGUGGCUUACCAAGGCUUUGACGGGUAGCCGGCCUGAGAGGGUGACCGGCCACAUUGGGACUGAGAUACGGCCCAGACUCCUACGGGAGGCAGCAGUGGGGAAUAUUGCACAAUGGGCGGAAGCCUGAUGCAGCAACGCCGCGUGCGGGAUGACGGCCUUCGGGUUGUAAACCGCUUUCGCCUGUGACGAAGCGUGAGUGACGGUAAUGGGUAAAGAAGCACCGGCUAACUACGUGCCAGCAGCCGCGGUGAUACGUAGGGUGCGAGCGUUGUCCGGAUUUAUUGGGCGUAAAGGGCUCGUAGGUGGUUGAUCGCGUCGGAAGUGUAAUCUUGGGGCUUAACCCUGAGCGUGCUUUCGAUACGGGUUGACUUGAGGAAGGUAGGGGAGAAUGGAAUUCCUGGUGGAGCGGUGGAAUGCGCAGAUAUCAGGAGGAACACCAGUGGCGAAGGCGGUUCUCUGGGCCUUUCCUGACGCUGAGGAGCGAAAGCGUGGGGAGCGAACAGGCUUAGAUACCCUGGUAGUCCACGCUGUAAACGGUGGGUACUAGGUGUGGGGUCCAUUCCACGGGUUCCGUGCCGUAGCUAACGCUUUAAGUACCCCGCCUGGGGAGUACGGCCGCAAGGCUAAAACUCAAAGGAAUUGACGGGGCCCCGCACAAGCGGCGGAGCAUGCGGAUUAAUUCGAUGCAACGCGUAGAACCUUACCUGGGUUUGACAUGGAUCGGGAGUGCUCAGAGAUGGGUGUGCCUCUUUUGGGGUCGGUUCACAGGUGGUGCAUGGCUGUCGUCAGCUCGUGUCGUGAGAUGUUGGGUUAAGUCCCGCAACGAGCGCAACCCUUGUUCACUGUUGCCAGCACGUUAUGGUGGGGACUCAGUGGAGACCGCCGGGGUCAACUCGGAGGAAGGUGGGGAUGACGUCAAGUCAUCAUGCCCCUUAUGUCCAGGGCUUCACGCAUGCUACAAUGGCUGGUACAGAGAGUGGCGAGCCUGUGAGGGUGAGCGAAUCUCGGAAAGCCGGUCUCAGUUCGGAUUGGGGUCUGCAACUCGACCUCAUGAAGUCGGAGUCGCUAGUAAUCGCAGAUCAGCAACGCUGCGGUGAAUACGUUCCCGGG